RNAcentral lists this long non-coding RNA (1248 nucleotides) under Cricetulus griseus (Chinese hamster). Its description in RNAcentral is "lncRNA (ENSCGRG00015013098.2)". Lineage: Eukaryota; Metazoa; Chordata; Mammalia; Rodentia; Cricetidae. The record is from RNAcentral.
CCUGUUUAGGUCUGUGUAGAAACCCAAAGGCUGGCCGGCCUCAUAAAUCCUCUAGACAUUACUGGUGUGGACACUCUGGCUGGAUGCCAUGGGAACGCUGCACAGAAAUAGAAAGGAGAGAAACACAUCGACGCUCUGGAUGUCGGGUGGGCUUCAGGCUCCGUUUGCCCAUCCUAGAUGCGGGGGUGGAGGGAGGCACUCAAGUGACUCUACUGGAUCACAUUAUGCUAAUCGUCUUUCGUCUGUGAGAACAGUGUCUAGUUACGCAUGUCUGUUUACUCCGUUUACUCCGUUACGGUUACUCUUAGCAGUGCUUGCGUUGGCGUUGGACUCACCAGGAUGUGACUUCAUCAUGUUCAGUUACACAGGAGCUCGGAAAGGCAGGUCCCAAAGCCGACAACUGUGUUCAGCAGUGAACCUCCUCUGAAAAGCGACCCACGGUGUGGCUUCUCUUCAACUCCAUUCCUUGUGUGGAAAAGACCUCAUUUUCAUGUGGUUGAAAAUGUGGUCUUUGGAAGAACUGACCUUGCUUAAUGAAGUCAGACUGAAUUAUAAACUAAGAAUUGGGUUUUUUUUUUGUUCAGAACAACUAGAAGGCCAACGUGGAGGAAUGGCUGGACAUGAUCCAUGGAGGGCCACCCAGCAGUUUGGAUGAAGAGUCUGGAUUAGAAACUUGGAAUUUUCAUGUCAUCCUCCCAAACUCUGCAAACCUGGUCCACGAAACCAAAGUUUUCUAAGACUUUGAAGCCCAAAGGUGUGUGGUGAGCACAGGCAUGGGGUGUGCUUUCACCUGAGGGGUCCUCCCUGGGCACAGGGGCCAGAAGUGGGAUACUUUAAUGAAAUCAUUAACAUUCGUUGGAGCAGAGUUAGAACUAAAAAUUGUCUUACCACAACUUAUUCUAAUUUACAACAUAUCCUAAUCCAGAUAAGCAGGGAAGUGCUAUUCACCCUAAUCCCAUUCAUGCCAGUGAACAACAGAUACAAAAUGCACUAUAAGGUCUAUCCCACAUCAUAGCUCGUAUGUCACAUACUUAGAAAAUCAGCGAUGAUUACCCAUGGAAAACAGAAGGCAUUCUUUUUUUAACAAAACUGGAGAGUCUAUCUUGGCACUGUACAAUAAAGAGGAAGCUAAACCAGGAAAGGUAUUCCCAGGAAAGAAGCAAAUACCGAGGUCCUCAUCACAGGACCUGUGAGUAAUGCAGUUCUCUGUGCUUCAGUGGGAGGAGGAUUAUCCAGAAGGACCCGGGA